Molecule: long non-coding RNA, 913 nt
Filed under: Homo sapiens (human)
Lineage: Eukaryota; Metazoa; Chordata; Mammalia; Primates; Hominidae
Description: non-protein coding lnc-TNIP3-2:1
Source: RNAcentral
AUGGCUUCAAGACAACCAGAAGUGCCUGCUCUUGAGGCUAGUGGGCCUCUAGGCAAGAUGUCCCUGCCCUUCAGGAUAUACCGCCGGGCACUCAGCUAUGAUGAUACCCUCAAGGACCCUGCACCCAUGACUCCUCCUCCAUCAGACAUGGGCAGCAUCCCUUGGAAGCCAGUGAUUUCAGAGCACAAGUAUCAGCACCUCACCAAGGUGGAGGAAGGAGAGGCCAGUCUACCCUCCCCUGCCAGUCCCUGUCAUCGGCCAUUGACAGUGUGGACAAGCUCCCAGUGGUGAAGGCUAAAGCUACCCAUGUCGUCAUGAAUUAUGUGAUCACAAAACAGACCCAGGAAAGCUUUCAGCAUUUUGGGCAACAGGCAGGGCUGAGAGAUCCUGGCUACACACCCACAAGGGUGUCACCACUCAGAAGACCAAGUACCUUAGAGUAGCAGAAGCACUCCACAAACUAAAGCUGCAGAGUGGAGAGAUAACAAAAGAAGAGAGGCCACCUGCAUCAGCCCUGUCCACCCCAAGCACCACUUCUCACUUUUCACCUAAGCAGAGACCCAGGGGCUGGUUCACUUCUGGUUCUUCCACAGCCUUACCUGGCCCAAAUCCUAGCACCAUGGACUCUGGAAGUGGGGAUAAGGACAGAAACUUGUCAGAUAAGUGGGGCCUCUUUGGACUGAGAUCCCUUCAGAAGUAUGAUUCUGGAAGUUUUGCCACCCAGGCCUACCGAGGAGCCCAGAAGCCCUCUCCAAUGGAACUGAUCCGUGCCCAGGCCAACCGAAUGGCUGAAGAUCCAGCAGCCUUGAAGCCACCCAAGAUGGACUUCCCAGUGACGGAAGGGAGGAAACAGCCACCACGGGCACAUAAUCUCAAACCCCGUGACUUGAAUGUGCUCACACCCACUGGCUUC